Molecule: non-coding RNA, 171 nt
Organism: Chanos chanos (milkfish)
Lineage: Eukaryota; Metazoa; Chordata; Actinopteri; Gonorynchiformes; Chanidae
Product: small Cajal body-specific RNA 1
Exons: 1
Source: RefSeq, a predicted model, not a curated record
GUGCACCAGAUACUAACCAGACUGUCUUCAGCCCAGUUCUUCUUCUGAACUGGUGUCUGUGUCUCCAGUGGCUGUCGGGUCAAUAAAGGUGCAAGAGAAAUAUAAGCCCUUGAGAUUUAAGCUCUGAGUGUGCAGAUUAUCUCUCAUGUGUUAUUACUCAAGGUCACAGCA